GUCAGAGAAUAGUGCAAUGCAACUUCUAAACAAACCGAUGAAUCUGGUUCACUACUUGUUUACAGAACAACGAGGUACAAACUAUCUCAUUGUUACAUUCUUACACCUACUUUGUAAUUCACAGUGUUCUUUCUGUGGGACUAUUAGUAUUCUGGGAGCUCACGUUGCUGUUUGCCUUGCUGUGCACAGAUUGCUGUCCGGAUUUUGGUACCUGCGUGUCUGGCUUCAUCUCCGUGCACCGGGGGGCUCGGAGCCCGGCGUCCCAGCCAACGGGCUGGAAGGAACAUCAGCCGGGAGGCAGGGGAACAGGCAGCGAGAGCGAACAGGGGUUAUUAAUGGUGACCGCUGGAGCCCGGCAGAAUGACAAAACAGGGGGAAACAAACAGCGUGUGAAAUGCACACCUGUCUGCGGAGUCUCGGAGGGGGCCGUGAAGGAGAAGUGGCACCUGUCUGUUCCUGCACGCUGGAUUCUCACCGGAUAUUGUACACCUGGGAAUUCACUCUCACCGUCCUCACGCCCGUUCCUGCCGCUCACCGACCCUUGUGUCAUUGAAUAAAUCCGACUUGCACCUGCUUUUCUGGGCGACUGUGGUGCGUAGGCGCAAGCGACAGUGUGAGCAUUCCUCUCAGCGACUCGUAUUGAGACAACUCUGCCAUCGUCUGGGGAGACGUCCAACACAGCAGCGCUGAGCUGGGGACUGGAGGACUUCCC
This is a long non-coding RNA of Gasterosteus aculeatus aculeatus (three-spined stickleback), 712 nucleotides long. Lineage: Eukaryota; Metazoa; Chordata; Actinopteri; Perciformes; Gasterosteidae. The record is from Ensembl.